This 468-nucleotide long non-coding RNA is filed under the name Homo sapiens (human). RNAcentral describes it as "non-protein coding lnc-PRDM9-21:3". The record is from RNAcentral. Lineage: Eukaryota; Metazoa; Chordata; Mammalia; Primates; Hominidae.
GUCAUGUGUAUGUAAUAAGGCCUCCAUAAAAACCGAAGAGGAUGGGGUUUGCAGAGCUUCUAGGCUGGUGAGCACUUGGAUGUGCUGGAGGCAUCCAGAGGGUGGAGCACGUGGAGAGGGCAUGAAUGCUCAGUGCACCUUCCCUCAUACCUUGCCUUAUACAGCGUUUCCAUCUGGCUGCUGUUGAGUUUUAUUCUUUAUAACAAUAUGCUAACCCUAAGCAAAGUUUUCCUGAGUUCUGUGAGCCAUUCUAGCAAAUGGUGGAACCUGAGAAAGGGGACAUGGGAAUCUCUGACUUACAGCCAGUCAGCCCGAAGCACAGGAUACCAAAAUCAUCAUACCAGAGACAUGAAUCUCCCUCAUUUGGCAUCCCAGGAGGCCUGGAUCAGUUUCACUGUGAAUGCUCCGCCGCUCAACCACACAAGCACCCUUCCUCCAGGCCCAGGGGAUACUGCAGAAGAGUUCUGG